UCAAAUGUUCUUUUCCCCCCUCUUUUUUAUUUAUUUUUGGUGGUGGGUGAAAUUAUAGAUUUUAUAAACAAGUAAAAUGUAUGUAAAAACUAAAGGGGGCAUCAGCAAAUUUGGUAGGGCUAAUUUUUAUGUGACUAUACGUAAUAAAUAAUUGCUUUUGAAGUUGCAGUUAUUGUGCCAGCGGUAGUGGGGGAAGGGGUUAUGGUGGCAGUGAGGGAGGGGGUUAUGGCGGCGGCUGUGAGGAUGAUGGCCGUGAUGGUGGAGGCAGAGAAGGUAAC
This 278-nucleotide long non-coding RNA is filed under the name Panax ginseng (ginseng). Its description in RNAcentral is "long non-coding RNA (PGIN_LNC008496)". The record is from RNAcentral. Lineage: Eukaryota; Viridiplantae; Streptophyta; Magnoliopsida; Apiales; Araliaceae.